CGAAACCGCGAGGUCAAGCAAAUCCCAUAAAGUUGUUCUCAGUUCGGAUUGUAGUCUGCAACUCGACUACAUGAAGCUGGAAUCGCUAGUAAUCGUAGAUCAGCAUGCUACGGUGAAUACGUUCCCGGGUCUUGUACACACCGCCCGUCACACCACGAGAGUUUGUAACACCCGAAGCCGGUGGAGUAACCUUUUAGGAGCUAGCCGUCGAAGGUGGGACAAAUGAUUGGGGUGAAGUCGUAACAAGGUAGCCGUAUCGGAAGGUGCGGCUGGAUCACCUCCUUU
RNAcentral lists this ribosomal RNA (285 nucleotides) under Staphylococcus aureus. Its description in RNAcentral is "partial 16S ribosomal RNA". It matches the Rfam family "Bacterial small subunit ribosomal RNA", at positions 1250 to 1533 of the family's 1533-position model. Lineage: Bacteria; Bacillati; Bacillota; Bacilli; Caryophanales; Staphylococcaceae. The record is from RNAcentral.